This 544-nucleotide ribosomal RNA is filed under the name uncultured Bacteroidota bacterium. RNAcentral describes it as "uncultured Bacteroidetes bacterium partial 16S ribosomal RNA". It matches the Rfam family "Bacterial small subunit ribosomal RNA", at positions 340 to 881 of the family's 1533-position model. The record is from RNAcentral. Lineage: Bacteria; Pseudomonadati; Bacteroidota.
UAUGGGAGGCAGCAGUAAGGAAUAUUGGUCAAUGGAGGGAACUCUGAACCCCCCAUUCCGCGUGAAGGAGGACGGCCCUCUGGGUUGUAAAAUUUUUUUGUAUGGGAAGAAAAAUUUGCAUUUAUGUGAAUUUGACGGUACCCGAAGAAAAAGCGCCUGGUAAAUCCGUGCCAGCAGCCGCGGUAAUAUGGAGGGGGCAAGCGUUUUCUCGGAAUCACUGGGUUUAAAGGGGGCGUGGGGGGCAUUAUAAGUCAGGAGUGAAAUUCCACAGCUUAACUGUAGGGAAUGCUUUUGAUACUGUAGUGUCUAGAAGCGAGAUGAGGUAGGCGGAAUGUGACAUGUAGCGGUGAAAUGCAAAGAUAUGUCAUAGAACACCAAUUGCGAAGGCAGCUUACUAGACUUAGGUUGAACAUGAGGCAAGAAAAGCGUGGGAGCAAACAGGAUUAGAUACCCUGGUAGUCCACGCCAGAAACGAUGCUAACUCGACGUUUGGGAUUAACUUUGAGCGUCCAAGCGAAAGCGAUAAGUAAGCCACCUGGAGACU